Molecule: ribosomal RNA, 468 nt
Filed under: uncultured bacterium
Lineage: Bacteria
Description: partial 16S ribosomal RNA
Rfam family: Bacterial small subunit ribosomal RNA
Source: RNAcentral
GACGAACGCUGGCGGCGGGCUUAACACAUGCAAGUCGAACGGAAAGGCCCUGCUUUUGUGGGGUGCUCGAGUGGCGAACGGGUGAGUAACACGGGAGUAACCUGGCCUGGACUUGGGGAUAACUUCAGGAAACUGGGGCUAAUACCUGAUAGGAGCGGCUGCUGCAGGGUGGGGGUUGGAAAGUUUCGGCGGUUGGGGAUGGACUCGCGGCUUAUCAGCUUGUUGGUGGGGGAGUGGCUUACCAAGGCUUUGACGGGUAGCCGGCCUGGGAGGGUGACCGGCCACAUUGGGACUGAGGUACGGCCCAGACUCCUACGGGAGGCAGCAGUGGGGAAUAUUGUACAAUGGGCGGAAGCCUGAUGCAGCAACGCCGCGUGCGGGAUGACGGCCUUCGGGUUGUAAACCGCUUUCGCCUGUGACGAAGCGUGAGUGACGGUAAUGGGUAAAGAAGCACCGGCUAACUACGUG